RNAcentral lists this unclassified non-coding RNA (386 nucleotides) under uncultured Actinomycetes bacterium. RNAcentral's name for it is "uncultured actinobacterium contains 16S-23S intergenic spacer region". The record is from RNAcentral. Lineage: Bacteria; Bacillati; Actinomycetota; Actinomycetes.
UCCGGUUUAUCACCGGCAGUCCCUGCAGAGUCCCCGGCGAGGAUUGCUCCUCCCGCUGGCAACAGCAGGCAAGGGUUGCGCUCGUUGCGGGACUUAACCCAACAUCUCACGACACGAGCUGACGACAACCAUGCGCCACCUGUGCACGGCCCUUACGGACCCCACAUCUCUGCAGGAUUUCCGUGCAUGUCAAGCCUAGGUAAGGUUCUUCGCGUUGCAUCGAAUUAAGCAACAUGCUCCGCUGCUUGUGCGGGCCCCCGUCAAUUCCUUUGAGUUUUAGCCUUGCGGCCGUACUCCCCAGGCGGGGCACUUAAUGCGUUAGCUGCGGCACGGAAACCGUCGAUAGGUCCCCACACCUAGUGCCCAACGUUUACGGCGUGGACUAC